CGUAGGGGGCUAGCGUUGUCCGGAUUUAUUGGGCGUAAAGAGCGCGUAGGCGGCCGCGUAAGUCCGGUGUGAAAACUCGAGGCUUAACCUCGAGAUGUCAUCGGAAACUAUUCGGCUAGAGUCCGGAAGAGGAGAGUGGAAUUCCUGGUGUAGCGGUGAAAUGCGCAGAUAUCAGGAAGAACACCUAUGGCGAAAGCAGCUCUCUGGGACGGUACUGACGCUGAGACGCGAAGGCGUGGGGAGCGAACAGGAUUAGAUACCCUGGUAGUCCACGCCGUAAACGAUGGGUGCUAGGUGUGGGCGGUGUCGACUCCGUCCGUGCCGAAGCUAACGCAUUAAGCACCCCGCCUGGGGAGUACGGCCGCAAGGCUA
Molecule: ribosomal RNA, 372 nt
Filed under: uncultured organism
Description: bacterial SSU rRNA
Rfam family: Bacterial small subunit ribosomal RNA
Source: RNAcentral